CACAUGAGGCAGGGGUAUAAGAUAUGAACCAAGAUGGCCUCUUAUUUAUCCCUUGUUUAAAGUGGAAUGCGAGAUACUAGUGAGAUAAUGAUGGAUUAGAUAGUAGGCAAUCUGAGGAUUUUAAUCAAUAAUUUAAUCAUUAAAUAUGUAUUUCAAGACAUCAAACAAGAGUCUCCAUAGAUAGUUAGGGUAUUGGGCCCA
RNAcentral lists this long non-coding RNA (201 nucleotides) under Elaeis guineensis (African oil palm). RNAcentral describes it as "long non-coding RNA (EGUI_LNC014451)". The record is from RNAcentral. Lineage: Eukaryota; Viridiplantae; Streptophyta; Magnoliopsida; Arecales; Arecaceae.